AACGCUGGCGGCGUGGAUUAGGCAUGCAAGUCGAACGGUAUCAUCCUUUCGGGGGUGAGAGAGUGGCGAACUGGUGAGUAACACGUAGGUUAUCUACCCUCAAGACGGGGACAACCCAGGGAAACUUGGGCUAAUACCGGAUGUGAGCAACUUUUAGUGUUUGAAAGGUGGCGUAAGCUGUCGCUUGGGGAUGAGCCUGCGUCCUAUUAGUUAGUUGGUGAGGUAACGGCUCACCUAGGCAAUGAUAGGUAGGCGGCCUUAACGGGUGGUCGCCCACACUGGGAUUGAGAUACGGCCCAGACUCCUACGGGAGGCAGCAGUCGAGAAUAGUCUACAAUGGUCGGAAGACUGAUAGUGCGACGCCGCGUGAACGAUGAAUCCCUUCGGGGUGUAAAGUUCUUUUAUAUGUGAGCAGUGCUUCUUAUAUUAACAGUAUGGGGAGAGAGAUAUUAGCAUAUGAAUAAGCAACGGCUAACUCCGUG
Molecule: ribosomal RNA, 482 nt
Filed under: uncultured bacterium
Lineage: Bacteria
Description: bacterial SSU rRNA
Rfam family: Bacterial small subunit ribosomal RNA
Source: RNAcentral